This 1175-nucleotide long non-coding RNA is filed under the name Neogale vison (American mink). RNAcentral describes it as "Neovison vison (American mink) lncRNA (ENSNVIG00000020486.1)". The record is from RNAcentral. Lineage: Eukaryota; Metazoa; Chordata; Mammalia; Carnivora; Mustelidae.
GACUCAGAAAGCACAAAAAAAGACUUGAAAAUUAAAUUUGAAAUCUUGUUCUUUGAUUAAGUGACAACAAAACUAGACAAAUCUCUGUCGAGAAUAAUGGAAAAUGAGAAAAAACUAAUAUGUUUACCAGAACGUUCAAAGGGAAUAUAGCAAUGAAUUAGAUAUUUGAUGGGAAAUACUGUAGAAAGUCCAUGAGAAUACCGGAAAAUCUUGAUGAAAUAAUGACUUUCUUAGAAAUUAUAAACAGCCAGAAUGGACUCAGUGAAACAUGAAACUUGAAGUAAAUGACAAUGUAAGAAAUGAAAGUUUUCAAAGAGCUCUUCCCCUAAAAUGUGUAUGAACCAGAUUCUUCAACUCUGCAUUUCUUCUGCGAUUUUCUUUGGCAUUUUAAAGUGUUUGUAAACAUAGAGGAUAUUAGAAAUCUUUGUAUACCAUUUUCAAGAUGAUAAUGUAAAGGCUAGAAAAAAAUAAAUUUCAGGAAUCAGCACUUGAAAAGGAACCUAAAUGAUAUUCUACAAAAAUAGGUUUAAAAACCUAAGGAAAAACACAGCAAUUAAGUCCAGGAGUAUCUUCAAACUGAGCUUAUCUAAGGGUUGCAUCAAUGUAAAGGAAUUUAUUAGUAAAACGCACCAAAUGGUAAGAUCUCUAGGAUUAUAUUAAUAGAUGUUGGAAGAAAUUCAACAUGAUCUCUGGAUAAAAAUAAUUUUUAGUAAAAGGAGACUUUUUAUCUCACUACACAUCAGAUUUAAAAGUGGUCCACCAGAUCUAGCUGAAGAUCUAAUGCACUCAGAUCUAAUGCACUCACAUUAGAAUAAGGAAGAGAACAAGGGUCCAUGUUAUUCCACCAUUACGAUUCUGAUAGUGCUGCUAUAAUGAGACAGAACAAGAGCUUCACACAAGAAGAUCCAAGGCUAAAGCAGCCUUUCCUGACUCUGUGCCCACGAGACCAAGGUGAGGGAGAAGAGAGAAGCUUCCUCAGGUGGAGUCACCAAACAGAAAUGGGUCAUCUGUGGUAAAACGUCAGCCUGCCCAGGACGGGGAAAUGACAGGACUCUCGGAGUGCUGCGGGAGUGUAGCUGUUGACCUCUCUCUCAUGGUGGCUUUGAAAAUCCACAUUUUGUAUUUAAUAUCAGGGUCAACAUCAGAUGCCCCAUCAGGGUCACCCAGUCUUAUUU